This 46-nucleotide non-coding RNA is filed under the name Schistosoma mansoni. The record is from RNAcentral. Lineage: Eukaryota; Metazoa; Platyhelminthes; Trematoda; Strigeidida; Schistosomatidae.
AUACAGCUGACAAGUCCCAAAAUAGGACGAAACGCGCGUCCUGGAU